RNAcentral lists this long non-coding RNA (543 nucleotides) under Marmota monax (woodchuck). Lineage: Eukaryota; Metazoa; Chordata; Mammalia; Rodentia; Sciuridae. The record is from RNAcentral.
AAUUACUGCAUUUUUAAAAGUGGUUGUUUCAUAAUAGUAAUUUUUGUUUGAAAUCACAAAUUCAUAAUAAAAUUGAUUUUGCAGUUGAUUUAUCUAAACCACUUAUUUGGAUACAUAUCAAACAGCCAUACUAUAGCAUUCCUGUUCAGUUUUCUGUUUUUUGAUGUAAUACCCUGGCAGUGAAAAGGAAGCAUGUACUCCUGGGAUCUGUACAUGUUUACUGAAGUGUUCAGCUCUAAUCUUGGUGUUCAACCAAAUUCAGUUGUUUGGUUUUAGAUGGCCAAAUAAUCAAGUACAUAUUUUAGCAUCAUGUGUGACAUUCCAUGAAACUGUACAUGAAAUUAAGUGAUCAUGUAAGUUGCCAUCAUAACUGCUGUUAAUGAUUUCAGUAUUAACAAACUUCAUGUUUAGAUUUAUUAAUAUCUGAAUAUCCAUUUCCAAAUGAUAGCUAAGCAUUCUAGAUAUUAUCUUAUAAAAAUCUCAUAUGAGUCAGGUGCAAUGGUACACACAUAUAAUCCCAGCGAUUUGGGAGGCUGAGACAGG